CUGGGCCAGAACAACGGAUGCCCCACAACUGAGUUUAGUGCCUCCAAGAACCACAGCUUUUUUUUGCAGCAGUAAGAGCAUACCUCUGAGGCACUGUGAAGAAUCUGAUAGUCGAACUGAAUGAAGCCAAGUCCAGUCUUUACGGAAAAAUUUACACAACACUUCCAGCCGGAGCAGAUGUGUAUUAACCCAAUUGGACAUCCGUGAAGACACCAAGGCCCAG
This 223-nucleotide long non-coding RNA is filed under the name Homo sapiens (human). Its description in RNAcentral is "PREDICTED lncRNA (TCONS_00233468)". The record is from RNAcentral. Lineage: Eukaryota; Metazoa; Chordata; Mammalia; Primates; Hominidae.